Pelobates cultripes (western spadefoot toad) is the source of this 271-nucleotide non-coding RNA. NCBI's taxonomy places the organism in Eukaryota, Metazoa, Chordata, Amphibia, Anura, Pelobatidae. The record is from the annotation of a GenBank genome assembly.
CAAAUACUUACAGACAAGACAAUACCUGCGUUCCUGCCUCCCAGUGCCGCGUUGACUGCUUUCCAAACUCGCACUUUGACCAUUGUCCAGGCUUCCAGAAAGUAUACUGUGAAAACCUGAAGCAUGAGCGAGUGCCAAAUGACAAGUGCUACCCUCGUUGUGUCUGCAAUGCGGGAUACGUCUUAUCAGAAGAGCAAUGUGUGAAAAUUAGUGAAUGUCCAAAGAAAGGAAAAUAACACUAAAUUAUGAAAGCUACUCAAUAAAGAGAAAC